GAGGUGUGCAAUGAACUCACAGUGAGGUAAGGCCUUGACUGGCCCAAUUAUUCUUUUGUCCAGAUCUGACUGUAUGGCUGCUGCCUUCAUUGAAUCUUUCUCCACUUGGUGUCAGAUGCAAGGACCAGAGUACUGAAUGCUUUCAUAACCAAAUGUGGAGAGGGAUAUCUGGGGCUCCCCAAUAGCCCCCCCUUGUAUCCUCUUCCCCCUUCAGCCAGAGAGCAUACUUGGGGACCUCACUUCAGUCAAACCUGUCCUCAGAUAUUAGGAGGGCCAUCCCAACACAUUUCAAUGAUGAGGACUGAGAGAAAACAGGGAUGGGGUCCAAACAAGAAAGUGGAAACCAGAAACUAGGUAAGGACAGGAAACAGGUUUUUUUGGGGGGAAUACCCUAUCCAAAGGGCAAAGAUCAAAGC
This 416-nucleotide long non-coding RNA is filed under the name Monodelphis domestica (gray short-tailed opossum). Its description in RNAcentral is "lncRNA (ENSMODG00000049335.1)". The record is from RNAcentral. Lineage: Eukaryota; Metazoa; Chordata; Mammalia; Didelphimorphia; Didelphidae.